AAUAGAUACCCUGGUAGUCCACGCCGUAAACGAUGAGUGCUAAGUGUUAGAGGGUUUCCGCCCUUUAGUGCUGCAGCUAACGCAUUAAGCACUCCGCCUGGGGAGUACGGGCCGCAAGGCUGAAACUCAAAGGAAUUGACGGGGGGCCCGCACAAGCGGUGGAGCAUGUGGUUUAAUUCGAAGCAACGCGAAGAACCUUACCAGGUCUUGACAUCCUCUGCCAACCCUAGAGAUAGGGCGUUCCCCUUCGGGGGACAGAGUGACAGGUGGUGCAUGGUUGCCGUCAGCUCGUGUCGUGAGAUGUUGGGUUAAGUCCCGCAACGAGCGCAACCCUUGAUCUUAGUUGCCAGCAUUCAGUUGGGCACUCUAAGGUGACUGCCGGUGACAAACCGGAGGAAGGUGGGGAUGACGUCAAAUCGAUCAUGCCCCUUAUGACCUGGGCUACACACGUGCUACAAUGGAUGGUACAAAGNGCUGCGAACCCGCGAGGGUAAGCCAAUCUCAUAAAGCCAUUCUCAGUUCGGAUUGU
Molecule: ribosomal RNA, 529 nt
Filed under: uncultured bacterium
Lineage: Bacteria
Description: bacterial SSU rRNA
Rfam family: Bacterial small subunit ribosomal RNA
Source: RNAcentral